UUUAUAAACAACAUGUAGUAUUGUUUUAUAAAUAUUUUUACAUUCACAUAAACAGACUACAUUGCAUUUAUUUUGCAACUCUGUUUUCAUUUAGCCUUAUGAUAUGUGGUUUGGUCUUUUUUCUGUAGUCCUGCCUUUUGAAACCUUGGGAUAAUAUAUUUAUCAUUCUCCUACUGAUAGAUGCUUGGGUUGUCUCCAGUGCUUUGCUACAGCCAACGACACCAGAGAGAACAUACUUUGCACUGUAUGGGAAUUUCUCUGGUCCCAGUGUGGGUGUAUCAGUUGUACCCCUGGGGUUUCAACUUACAGAAGUGACUGGGUUACACCACGGAGAGGCUAAUGCCAUUGAUAAAACAUCUUGUUGUUUACAUUUUCACCAAGUUUGAUCAGGAGGCAGAAGGGGUGAGCACAGCCCAGAAGAAUCUGUUGAGAAAGGCCUGGAGGGGCAGGGAGCAGUUUAGGAUUGGCUAGUGGGAAUGACGCGGGCGGGCUUAGGCCACAGGGCUUAGGGCAGAGGGUAGGCGCCCGCCGGAGGAGGUGGCUCAGGGGUGGGCUCUGAUUGGUUAGUUUCCCAGAGGAGAACUUUGAUUGGUUAGUUCAUGGAGGGCUUGUCGUGAGCCCUUUGCCAGCUCCAAGAAUUGGCAAGCCUUGGGAGGGGCAGUCUCUUCCCCAGUCGGGGAGGCCACACGUGCCAGAGCAUGGAGAACGCACAGAAUAAGAAACUCUGGUUCAUAUCCGGGCCCUUCGGUUUGACGGGGCGUUGCCCUGUGGCUGUCUACACUGGCUGCACCAGUUCCCCCGAGUGUCUAGCUGAGGUUGAAUUGCCUCACUGCUCUUGAUAAUACUCGAUGAAAAGCAAUUUGCGAAUCUGAGGGGUGUGAAACACUACCUCCUGGGUGUUUAAUGUGUAUUUCCCACAAAUAACCAUAUUUGUGAGGCCAGGCAUCAUUCCACGUGGUCAUUCUGUUAUUUCACUCUGCCCUUCUUGUCGCUUGCUAACCUCUUCCCAUUUGGGUGGGAAGCCAAUUGGUAUUUGUUAAUAACGUGUAAACUUUGGAACUGAUAUUGGCUCCAUUCAAUGCACUGCAAAUAUCCUCUCCCACUUUGUGGCUUCUCUUUCAACUUUGUGAUGUUGUCUUCCGUGG
This 1145-nucleotide long non-coding RNA is filed under the name Marmota monax (woodchuck). Lineage: Eukaryota; Metazoa; Chordata; Mammalia; Rodentia; Sciuridae. The record is from RNAcentral.